UACAGAGGUCCCAAGCGUUGUUCGGAUUCAUUGGGCGUAAAGGGUGCGUAGGUGGCGCCGUAAGUGGGGUGUGAAAUUUCGGAGCUUAACUCCGAAACUGCAUUCCAUACUGCGGUGCUUGAGGACUGGAGAGGAGACUGGAAUUUACGGUGUAGCAGUGAAAUGCGUAGAGAUCGUAAGGAAGACCAGUGGCGAAGGCGGGUCUCUGGACAGUUCCUGACACUGAGGCACGAAAGCCAGGGGAGCAAACGGG
This 253-nucleotide ribosomal RNA is filed under the name uncultured bacterium. Its description in RNAcentral is "partial 16S ribosomal RNA". It matches the Rfam family "Bacterial small subunit ribosomal RNA", at positions 524 to 776 of the family's 1533-position model. The record is from RNAcentral.